RNAcentral lists this small nuclear RNA (20 nucleotides) under Arabidopsis thaliana (thale cress). RNAcentral describes it as "snRNA_03752". Lineage: Eukaryota; Viridiplantae; Streptophyta; Magnoliopsida; Brassicales; Brassicaceae. The record is from RNAcentral.
AUUAAUUAUAUGUACACACU